This 437-nucleotide ribosomal RNA is filed under the name Salmonella enterica subsp. enterica serovar Give. RNAcentral describes it as "partial 23S ribosomal RNA". It matches the Rfam family "Bacterial large subunit ribosomal RNA", at positions 1241 to 1677 of the family's 2925-position model. Lineage: Bacteria; Pseudomonadati; Pseudomonadota; Gammaproteobacteria; Enterobacterales; Enterobacteriaceae. The record is from RNAcentral.
CUGUAAGCCUGCGAAGGUGGCCUGUGAGGGUUGCUGGAGGUAUCAGAAGUGCGAAUGCUGACAUAAGUAACGAUAAAGCGGGUGAAAAGCCCGCUCGCCGGAAGACCAAGGGUUCCUGUCCAACGUUAAUCGGGGCAGGGUGAGUCGACCCCUAAGGCGAGGCCGAAAGGCGUAGUCGAUGGGAAACGGGUUAAUAUUCCCGUACUUGGUGUUACUGCGAAGGGGGGACGGAGAAGGCUAUGUUGGCCGGGCGACGGUUGUCCCGGUUUAAGCGUGUAGGUGUGUGUUCCAGGUAAAUCCGGUUCACUUUAACACUGAGGCGUGAUGACGAGGCACUACGGUGCUGAAGCAACAAAUGCCCUGCUUCCAGGAAAAGCCUCUAAGCAUCAGGUAACAUCAAAUCGUACCCCAAACCGACACAGGUGGUCAGGUAGAGA